RNAcentral lists this transfer RNA (86 nucleotides) under Lujinxingiaceae bacterium. RNAcentral's name for it is "tRNA-Leu". It matches the Rfam family "tRNA". Rfam says of the family: Transfer RNA (tRNA) molecules are approximately 80 nucleotides in length. Their secondary structure includes four short double-helical elements and three loops (D, anti-codon, and T loops). Lineage: Bacteria; Deltaproteobacteria; Bradymonadales; Lujinxingiaceae. The record is from RNAcentral.
GCGGAAGUGGCGGAAUUGGUAGACGCGCUGGACUAAGGAUCCAGUGCCUUUUAAACGGCGUGGGGGUUCGAGUCCCCCCUUCCGCA